UAAUUUAAAAUUUAUUAUUAUUAUAAUAUAUAUAUAUAUAUAUAUAUAUAUAUAUAAAUAAUUAUUUUAAUAAAAAUAAUUUUAAUAUUGUUAUGAAAGUUUUUGUAUUUUUAAAGAUAAAAUUUUAAAAAAUUAUAGUUUAAUUGUAUUGAGAAAGAUUAUUGAAAUAUUUUGAAAAUUAGUUUUUAAAAAAGUAAAUUUUGUUUAUUGUACCUUGUGUAUCAGGGUUUAUUAAUUUAAAUAUAUUUAUAUAAUAUAAUUCUCGAAUUUAAAAGAUUUAAUUUAUUAUAAAUUAGUUAAUGUUGAAUAAUUAUUAAAAAUAAUAAAUUAGUAAUGAAAUGUUAUUCGUUUUUAAAUAUAUCUAGUUUUUUAAUAAAUAAAUUUAAUUUAUAAAUUAUGAUUUUAUUAUUAUAAUAUUUAUUUAUAAUAAUAUUUUUAAUUUAAAUAUUUUAAGGGAUAAGCUUUAAAUUAUAAAAUUAUAAUUUUAUGUUAAAUAUUAAUUAUUUUAUAGGCUUAGAAUUAGUUUUUAUUUGAAAAAUGUUAUAAUUUUAUAUUUAUAUUUAUAUUUAUAUAAAUAUAUAAUUAAUAUAAUUUUUAUUAAUUUAAUUUUUUUAUUAAAAUAAUUUAAUUAAUAAUUUUUAAUUAAAAUAAUGAUAAAAUUAGUAAAAUUUUAUUUAUAAAUUUUUAUAAUUGAAAUAUUUUUAUAAGGAAUUAGGCAAAUAAAUUUUCUCGCCUGUUUAACAAAAACAUGUCUUUUUGAAUAUAAUUUAAGGUUUAAUCUGCUCAAUGAUUAUUAUUAAAUAGCCGCAGUAUUUUGACUGUGCAAAGGUAGCAUAAUAAUUAGUCUUUUAAAUGGAGGCUAGAAUGAAUGAUUGGACGAAGUAAAUUCUGUCUCAUAAAAAUUAAAAUUUAAAUUUAAUCUUUUAGUUAAAAAGCUAAAAUAUUAUUAAAGGACGAGAAGACCCUAUAGAGCUUUAUAAUAAAUUAUUAAUAAAUUUUAAUUUUUUUUUAUUAAUUUAAUAUUAUUUUAUUGGGGCGAUAGGAAAAUUUAUUAAACUUUUUUAAAUUAAUUACAUUUAUUUAUGAACUUUUGAUCCUAAAAUUUAGAUUAUUAGAUUAAGUUACCUUAGGGAUAACAGCGUUAUUUUUUUUUAGAGUUCAUAUUAAUAAAAAAGAUUGCGACCUCGAUGUUGGAUUAAAAUUAGUUUUAGGUGUAGAAGCUUAAAUUAUAAGUCUGUUCGACUUUUAAAAUUUUACAUGAUCUGAGUUCAAACCGGUGUAAGCCAGGUUGGUUUCUAUCCUUAAUUUAUUAAAAUAUUAUAGUACGAAAGGAAUUAAUAUUUAAAAUAAUUUUUUUAUUUUAAGAAUAUUAUUAAAUAAUAUUUAUAUAUAUAUAUAUAUAUA
Molecule: ribosomal RNA, 1404 nt
Filed under: Arge similis
Lineage: Eukaryota; Metazoa; Arthropoda; Insecta; Hymenoptera; Argidae
Description: 16S ribosomal RNA
Source: RNAcentral